ACCUAUAUUUUACUUAUUACAUCCUUUUGUAAUAACUCGAUUCAUACAACAAUAAGACUUUGAGGCUGUGGGAUAGACAUAUACACGGUUGAACAGCCUGCAAAAGAAAGGCACAAAGGUUUGGGAGAAGCGAUGAGUAGAUAUCCACAAAGUACAAGCUAUCAUCAUCUACCAUUCAUACAAUCAGCACUCCAUUCAUUCAAAUUCAUAUAAAUAAAAAUCUCUACAGUAAUAAACAACCAAUCUUACAUAGAUACUCCACUUCCAACAAUUAUAUAUGACACACACAUUCUUGAAUUAUUCAAAGCAGACGAGAAAAAUGCAUGACUCUAAUUCUAGCGUAGAAUGUUCUUAUAUAUGGUAAAUUUUAUAUUUGGUGUAAAGCAUAUAUAGGGCGAAGAUAUUAAAUAAUGAAGCUCUAGCCACAUGUAGCUUGUUUGUUUCAUUGCUUUGUUGCGCGAUCAAAGCAUCAAACAGUAUAAUAUAUUCCUUCCAUUUGUGAUAAGCAUGUAAUUACGAGAUGUGCACCAGUCAAGUUUACUUAAAUUUGACUAAAUUUAUAAUAAAUAUUAUUAAUAUUUAUGUCUUUAAAUAUUUUUCUUCGCGGGGUCGGAACCCAAGUUAUUAGAACCGGACCGGAGAUCGAACCGGCGAGGCCGUCGGUUCACUGGUUCACUGGUCCAACCGUUUCAAACCAGUUGAACCGCCGGUUCAAUUAUUUUGGACCGGACAAAUCGAACCGGUGACAAAUACUUCGAACCGGUAUAUAUAUAAAUAAUUAUAUAUAUGCUAUAAUUAAUAAUUGGUAGAUGAUAAAUAACAUAAAUUUCAAUGGACAACUAUAAGGUUCAUAAAUAUGUAUAUAUAGAAUGACAUGUUCAUAAUUUAAAACAUCAAGUGCCUGAUGACAAUAACAUAACUUUCAUCUUCAUACAUAAUUCAUACUUACAUCAUAGAAAUAUAGAAAAUAUAAAAUCACAAGCUCACAGUCACAGAGUUACUGGAACACAACCUCGCAAACAAUAAGCUUAUUGAAUAUGUCAUUAUCAGUGUAUUCGGCAUUGACACUAAUAGGGAGCCGAAUAUAUCACAUUAAUAAAAAACAAAAUAAUGCAAUUACUAGCCAUUAGCAGUGGAAUUACCAGCCAUUAGUUUAAGAUUGAGAACUGAAACUAGCUCACCAUUAGCAACCAAUGUCUCGUGUCUGGCUCUGAACUCUAGAUGCAGAAGCUUGAAGAAGAAUCGGAGCAGCAGCACACAACAGUAUGGAUCUCGAUCCGUCGGCCGCUCCUUAGCCUUGCCUGCUGCUGCAGGAAUCGCCCGCUGCUGC
Molecule: long non-coding RNA, 1330 nt
Filed under: Sorghum bicolor (sorghum)
Lineage: Eukaryota; Viridiplantae; Streptophyta; Magnoliopsida; Poales; Poaceae
Description: long non-coding RNA (SBIC_LNC009606)
Source: RNAcentral